GCGCUCGCUUCGGCAGCACAUACACUAAAAUUGAAACGAUACAGAGAAGAUGAGCACGGCCCCUGCGCAAGGACGACACGCAAAUUUGUGAAGCGUUCCAGCUGUAA
Small nuclear RNA from Panthera leo (lion), 107 nucleotides. NCBI's taxonomy places the organism in Eukaryota, Metazoa, Chordata, Mammalia, Carnivora, Felidae. The record is from Ensembl.